AGAGUUUGAUCCUGGCUCAGAACGAACGCUGGCGGCGUGCUUAACACAUGCAAGUCUUACGAGAAAGCUCCCUUCGGGGAGUUAGUAAAGUGGCGCACGGGUGAGUAACGCGUGGGUAACCUACCCUAGAGACCGGGAUAACUCGCCGAAAGGCGUGCUAAUACCGGAUACGCUUCCCAUUUCUUAGGGCUUGGGAAGGAAAGGUGGCCUCUCGAAGAAGCUGCCGCUCAAGGAUGGGCCCGCGUCCCAUUAGCUUGUUGGUAGGGUAAUGGCCUACCAAGGCAACGAUGGGUAGCUGGUCUGAGAGGAUGAUCAGCCACACUGGAACUGAGACACGGUCCAGACUCCUACGGGAGGCAGCAGUGGGGAAUAUUGCGCAAUGGGCGAAAGCCUGACGCAGCAACGCCGCGUGAGUGAAGAAGGCCUUCGGGUUGUAAAGCUCUGUCAGGUGGGAAGAAAGGUCAAAGAUAAAUAGUCUUUGGCUCUGACGGUACCAUCAGAGGAAGCACCGGCUAACUCCGUGCCAGCAGCCGCGGUAAUACGGAGGGUGCAAGCGUUGUUCGGAAUUACUGGGCGUAAAGCGGGUGUAGGCGGUGGAUCAAGUCAGAUGUGAAAGCCCUCGGCUCAACCGAGGAAGUGCAUCUGAAACUGUUUCGCUAGAGUACGGGAGAGGAGAGUGGAAUUCCCAGUGUAGAGGUGAAAUUCGUAGAUAUUGGGAGGAACACCGGUGGCGAAGGCGGCUCUCUGGAACGAUACUGACGCUGAGACCCGAAAGCGUGGGGAGCAAACAGGAUUAGAUACCCUGGUAGUCCACGCCGUAAACGAUGGGCAUUAGGUGAAGGGAGUAUUGACCCUCCCUGUGCCGACGCUAACGCAUUAAAUGCCCCCGCCUGGGGAGUACGGUCGCAAGAUUAAAAACUCAAAGGAAUUGACGGGGGCCCGCACAAGCGGUGGAGCAUGUGGUUCAAUUCGACGCAACGCGAAGAACCUUACCUGGGCUUGACAUCCCGGGAAUCCUUUGGAAACUUAGGAGUGCCCUUCGGGGAACCCGGUGACAGGUGCUGCAUGGCUGUCGUCAGCUCGUGUCGUGAGAUGUUGGGUUAAGUCCCGCAACGAGCGCAACCCUCAUCCUUAGUUGCCAUCAUUGAGUUGGGCACUCUAAGGAAACUGCCGGUGUUAAACCGGAGGAAGGUGGGGAUGACGUCAAGUCCUCAUGGCCCUUAUGCCCAGGGCUACACACGUGCUACAAUGGCCGGUACAAUGGGUCGCAAUCCCGCGAGGGGGAGCUAAUCCCAAAAAGCCGGUCCUAGUUCGGAUUGGAGUCUGCAACCCGACUCCAUGAAGCUGGAAUCGCUAGUAAUCGCGCAUCAGCAUGGCGCGGUGAAUACGUUCCCGGGCCUUGUACACACCGCCCGUCACACCAUGAGAGCUGGUUGUACCAGAAGUCGGUGGGCCAACCCUGUUUCGGCAGGGAAGCAGCCGCCUAAGGUAUGAUUAGUAAUUGGGGUGAAGUCGUAACAAGGUA
RNAcentral lists this ribosomal RNA (1525 nucleotides) under uncultured bacterium. Its description in RNAcentral is "bacterial SSU rRNA". It matches the Rfam family "Bacterial small subunit ribosomal RNA". The record is from RNAcentral.